This 80-nucleotide transfer RNA is filed under the name Gormaniella terricola. RNAcentral describes it as "tRNA-Leu". It matches the Rfam family "tRNA". From Rfam's summary of the family: Transfer RNA (tRNA) molecules are approximately 80 nucleotides in length. Lineage: Eukaryota; Viridiplantae; Chlorophyta; Chlorophyceae; Chaetopeltidales; Chaetopeltidaceae. The record is from RNAcentral.
GCUUACUUGGUGAAAUGGUAAACACGACAGACUUAAAAUCUGUUCCUUUUUGGUUGUCGGUUCAAGUCCGACAGUAAGCA